UUGGGAUUAUUUUUCAUGCAUUAUUUAAAUUGAAUAUAAUGAAUAUUAUUUAAUAAAUAAAUUUGGUGUAUUUACUGUCUUCUGAUUGGUUAAAAUUAUUAGUUUUAUUUUCAAUGUUGUCAAUUUUGAUGGCGACACGCCCACUCUGAUGUUGUGUAUUCAUACACCAACAUGUGUGUACGUUGUUAUUAAUAUAUAUAAUAUAAAAAGUUCUUUGUGCCUGUUUUUUGAUAGAAAUUUAUUUAUAAUGAAUGGCAAUAAUUUAUUUUGAUUUUAU
RNAcentral lists this long non-coding RNA (277 nucleotides) under Mytilus galloprovincialis (Mediterranean mussel). The record is from RNAcentral. Lineage: Eukaryota; Metazoa; Mollusca; Bivalvia; Mytilida; Mytilidae.